Molecule: transfer RNA, 95 nt
Filed under: Streptosporangiales bacterium
Lineage: Bacteria; Bacillati; Actinomycetota; Actinomycetes; Streptosporangiales
Description: tRNA-Sec
Rfam family: Selenocysteine transfer RNA
Source: RNAcentral
GGAGGCGUUUGUCAGCUGGUGCUGGCCGCGGUCUUCAAAACCGUUGGACGCGGUGCAAUCGCGUCGGUGGGUUCGAUUCCCAUCCGCCUCCGCCA